RNAcentral lists this ribosomal RNA (476 nucleotides) under uncultured bacterium. Its description in RNAcentral is "bacterial SSU rRNA". It matches the Rfam family "Bacterial small subunit ribosomal RNA", at positions 29 to 480 of the family's 1533-position model. The record is from RNAcentral.
AACUAACGCUGGCGGCGUGCCUAACACAUGCAAGUCGUACGAGAAAGCCGGCUUCGGCUGGUGAGUAAAGUGGCGCACGGGUGAGUAACGCGUGGAUAAUCUGCCCUUAAGUGUAGAAUAACGUACCGAAAGGUGCGCUAAUACCGCAUAAUGCCUGGCAACACAAGUUGUCCGGCCAAAGAAGGCCUCUGUUUACAAGCUUUCGCUUCAGGAUGAGUCCGCGUACCAUUAGCUUGUUGGUGGGGUAAUGGCCUACCAAGGCUGCGAUGGUUAGCUGGUCUGAGAGGAUGAUCAGCCACACUGGAACUGAGACACGGUCCAGACUCCUACGGGAGGCAGCAGUGAGGAAUAUUGCGCAAUGGGGGCAACCCUGACGCAGCAACGCCGCGUGAGUGAGGAAGGUUUUCGGACUGUAAAGCUCUGUCGAGCGGGAAGAAGUGUACCAUGGCUAAUAUCCAUGAUAUUUGACGGUACCG